GCAUCAAAUGAUGAGAGAGAAACUGCAACAAUAUGAUCGAUUCAUUUCAUGAUUCGCUUGUAUUUAAGUCUCUGAUCAUC
Molecule: small nucleolar RNA, 80 nt
Organism: Telopea speciosissima
Lineage: Eukaryota; Viridiplantae; Streptophyta; Magnoliopsida; Proteales; Proteaceae
Product: small nucleolar RNA Z199
Exons: 1
Source: RefSeq, a predicted model, not a curated record